This 890-nucleotide ribosomal RNA is filed under the name Polypedates cf. leucomystax CWL-2010. RNAcentral's name for it is "partial 16S ribosomal RNA". It matches the Rfam family "Bacterial large subunit ribosomal RNA", at positions 1111 to 2606 of the family's 2925-position model. Lineage: Eukaryota; Metazoa; Chordata; Amphibia; Anura; Rhacophoridae. The record is from RNAcentral.
AGCAGCCACCUUUUAAAACGCGUCAAAGCGUAACCUUAAUUCCCAAAUACCAUUAAUCUUCAUGAACCCCUAAUUUAUAAUGAAUGACUCCAUAUUUAUAUGGAAGACACCAUGCUAGGAUUAGUAACAAGAAUUUAUAAUUCUCCAAAAUGCAAACAUAAACCAACAUGGAUAGACCAUUGGUAGUUACCGAACCUAAAUUCACUGCAAUAACACCCACAAGAAAACUCUGCAGUACUUACUCGUUAACCUAACACUAGCGCAUUACAGGAAAGAUUUAAAAAAAGAGAAGGAAUUCGGCAAAUGACGGCCCCGCCUGUUUACCAAAAACAUCGCCUCUUGACUUAUAAUAAGAGGUCCAGCCUGCCCAGUGAAUUUUUAACGGCCGCGGUAUCCUAACCGCGCGAAGGUAGCAUAAUCACUUGUUCUUUAAAUGGGGACUCGUAUCAACGGCAUCACGAGGGUUUUACUGUCUCCUCUUUUUGAUCAGUGAAAUUGAUCUUCCCGUGAAGAAGCGGGAAUAAUACUAUAAGACGAGAAGACCCCAUGGAGCUUAAAACCAAAUAACAACUUAACCACUCACCCCCCUAUAAAUUUAAGCCCUGUUAUAAGGUUUUCGGUUGGGGUGACCGCGGAGUAAAGCUCAUCCUCCACGACGGAAAGAACACACUCUUUAUUUAAGAACCACAAUUCUAGAAAUUAGUAUACUAACGUUUACUGACCCGAUAAUCGAUCAACGGACCAAGUUACCCUGGGGAUAACAGCGCAAUCUACUUCAAGAGCUCAUAUCGACAAGUAGGCUUACGACCUCGAUGUUGGAUCAGGGUAUCCCGGUGGUGCAGCCGCUACCGAAGGUUCGUUUGUUCAACGAUUAAAACCCUACGUGAUCU